This 281-nucleotide unclassified non-coding RNA is filed under the name air metagenome. Its description in RNAcentral is "partial contains small subunit ribosomal RNA, internal transcribed spacer 1, and 5.8S ribosomal RNA". The record is from RNAcentral.
AAGUCGUAACAAGGUCUCCGUAGGGUGGGUUUUUUCCCGACUUCUAACUAAUAUCGAACGAAUGCUAACAGAUUUCUAGUGAACCUGCGGAGGGAUCAUUACUGAGUGAGGGUCUCUGACCCGACCUCCAACCCUUUGUGAUUAAAACCUCUGUUGCCUCGGGGGCGACCCGGGCCUCGUGCUCAGGGCCCCCGACGGACCAUUUCAAAACACUGCAUCUUUGCGUCGGAUUGAAUAAAGUAAAUUAAUUAAAACUUUCAACAACGGAUCUCUUGGUUCUG